RNAcentral lists this ribosomal RNA (425 nucleotides) under Galathea tagaloa. Its description in RNAcentral is "partial 16S ribosomal RNA". The stretch from base 292 to 425 matches the Rfam family "Bacterial large subunit ribosomal RNA", at positions 2473 to 2606 of the family's 2925-position model. Lineage: Eukaryota; Metazoa; Arthropoda; Malacostraca; Decapoda; Galatheidae. The record is from RNAcentral.
UUUUAAUUGGAAGCUAGUAUGAAUGGUUGGACAAAGGAAAUUCUGUCUUUUUAUUAUCUUUGAAUUUAUCUUUUAAGUGAAAAGACUUAGAUUAUUUUAAGGGACGACAAGACCCUAUAAAUCUUUAUAUAAAUAUUAUUCUUAUUAAAUUUUUUAUGUUUAUAAAACUAUGAAUAUAAGAUAUUAUGUUGGGGAGACAAGAAUAUUUAAUAAACUGUUCUUCAUUAAAACAAAGUUGUUUGAAAUGGUUAAUAGAUCCUAUCUAAAGAUUUAAGUUUAAGUUACUUUAGGGAUAACAGCGUUAUUUUUUUUGAGAGUUCAUAUCGAAAAGAAAAGUUUGCGACCUCGAUGUUGAAUUAAAAUCUCUUAAUGGUGUAGCAGUCAUUCAAGAAAGUCUGUUCGACUUAUAAAUUUUUACGUGAUCU